CAUGCAGGACCCCCAGGCACACACAGCGCCACGUGCUAGAACAGCUAAGUUCCCCUGACGCCAGAUGCCACACUGGAGCUGGUGACGGAGCUGGUGCAGGCCCAGCCCUGCAUGCCACACAAGCCCGUGGCUGUCCCUUUAAGCCUCCCCCACACCCCUCGCCCCUCCUCACACCGCACCAGCAGCUCAUCCAGGGAGCUAAGUUUAGCUCCCUCCACUUCCAGUCUUGCCUCCAGGGACAGCCUGUGCUAGUGGGGCCCGCAAGGCUCUCUGAAGCCACCAGAGGCUUGCUUCGUAGCACAGAGGUCCUGACCUGGAUCAGCGGUGCACUCCCCGGAGGGCGGGGGAUCCUGCACACAGAGGUUUUUGGGGAAGGGGGGCGGCACCCCUCUGACAGGACUCUUCCUCGCCCCAGCACAGUCUGGCCUCACGGUCGGGACAAGGGUGGCCCGGUCAGUCCCCCACGGUCCGUGACUCAUCUGGGGACAGCUUGUUGUUUUGGGCCCAAAACAAGAACCUUUAAACGGAGCCACGACACGACACACACCUCACCGAUCGGCUCCCUCUGCCACCUGGACCUCAGGUCGGGGUCGUUCGGAGAAAGCCUGUGUGCACCUGAGCUGACGGGACGUCCCCUCCAUUCGGGACCAGAACCUGACCCGGAGCUGUCUCCAGGCCGGGUCAGACGCACACAGAGCAGGCCCUCAAACGGGACCUAUGGUCUCCCUGAAGCCAGGCCUCUGGCCACACACGGUCCUAAGAACGGCGGACAGAAUCUGGGACAGGAUCUGAGGGACUACAGGGGGAAAACGCAGUCAACGCUUGUCAGCCAGCGUGACCCAGGCCACGUGGCAGGAGCUCCCCUGCAGCCACUGGAGCGGCCCGCAUCCUCUUCCAGAACCAGUACCAGCUAACCCAGGUGAUCUCUACGGACAGAAAUAACACCCGCUCCACAGCGGACUUGCUUCCAAACCAGCCUCUCACCCGACACUCAGUGUAUCUUCACUUGAUUUGCAAUUUGGCAACUAGUGAUUGUCUUGUCGUGUAUGUGUGUGUAUACACACACACACACACACACACUUGAAUGUGAUAAAAAACAAAAAACCAAUCUCAGGAACAGUUGCCAGCACGGGCUACUGGAAAACAAAAAGACGAUCAGCGUUGUUGUAAUACAAGGCGGACACACAGCCGCUACAUGUUUCGCAUUCACGCCUUCGCACGCGCCUUCGGAUCUCGGGACAGCGCUGCUUCCAACCUGCUCCCAGCCGCGUUUCCCCACCAGUCAUACCGACAAACGCCAGAGCCCGGACCAAGGCGGCCCGUCCGGCUGCCCAGCAGUCCAGCCACGGCGGAGCUGACCACGGCCCGAGCCCCGUCCCGCACCCCAGGGGCCGCCUCUCCCGUCAGUCCCCUCGCACGGAGCUUGGUAGGCGGAGAAAUCUGUGAACGUGCCCCCAAUACCGACCCAAGACGCCAAAAUCUCUGGCUCUGGGGCUGAGGCGGCUGACAGAUUUCAUUUUCAGGAGGAGUUAGACGGGCCGAGCAGGCGCCCGGCCCAGUGCCCCACCGGCACCGGAUGGAGGAUCACAAGUGGGGUGUGCGGCCGGCUCACGGAGGCUGCUCCCUCGGCCGGAUAACGGCACCGAACCGGCCCUGCGGUGCCGGGCGCUGCGCCACGCACUUGACGCGCAUUAUCUCACUUAAUCCAAACGCAGUUGUCCCCAUUCUCCUGCUGGAAGAAACCAAAGCUCACAGGUUCACUUGCCCAAGCGGUCGAAACCGCCGCUCAGCUCAGAAGGCUGAGCUCUUAAGCCACACGCAGGGCCCUGACCAGAGACCGCGAACCAAGCUUUAUAUUUAAGAGUUAAGUCCCAACGUGCUUGCGAAAAAUGAAAUUAAAAAAUCGGAACAAGGACAGUAGUCUCAUUCGUCAUAUGACCUGACUGUCAAGGAGACAGGGCUCAGAGCAGCCAGACGACGAGGGGACAGACCAUCUGGACCGGGCAGCACUCUGAGGCCAACCGCCUGCCCCUGGACGGCGGAGGGGAGCCGGGGCCAAGGGGUCAGGGUGCCCUUUGGCGGGAUGUUUGCCGGCCUCCCCACCCCCCCCCCUCGGCUCAACAAAGCCCGCCUGGGGCUCAACAAAAGGGAAAGAGGAGUGCUCAGAGCAGCCUUCCUCCUGCCAAAGCCUGACUCAUCGGCCGUGCUCCAGCCUGGCUCUCCGAGCAAAAGGCCGGCUCUGCUCGUGGAGCCAACCAGAGCCGGGGCUGGCCCGGAGGAGAGGGAAGCAGGGCAGGAGGCCAAAGGCAGGGACGCCCCAGACGCUCGGGCCGGCGAGCCAGGGCUCUGGCUCCUCAUAAAGGGCCCUUGUGCGUUAGGCCCGGGCCGCCAGGCCCUGUAGGCCUGGGGUCCGGGGGCUCUGGGGCCGCCGGAGCACUGACUCGGCACCCACGCUCCACACGAACUCUGACCUUGUCCCACGAGAGACCAGACAGCUCUGAGGAGACGGACCACCGCCUCCAAAAGCCUCUCUCCUUCCAGAAUCGCUGGAAAAGUCUCUGCUGACAACAUUUGCAGGAUUUCACGAGGCCCCACCUCCACCACCAAAAGCCCAACACAACACAGCGUGGCAGAAAUGCCAAAGCCGUGCCUUCAAGAACCAGGGCGAGACCUGGGACCUCACCAGCCAAGUGCCACCUACCAGAGUGUUCUCUUCACGCCCACGGAUGCGCAUAAACCCCAAUUCAGGCUACUUUUGGGGGACCUCCUUAGAACAACAACGGGGGUUUGCUCAGGAACAGGGCCAGGGGAAACGUAAGCCACCCACAGCCUGAGCGCCUCCUGGACAAAGGGGACAUUUGAAAGGUGUCAAUAAAGUGCUUCUCCAAGCAA
Long non-coding RNA from Felis catus (domestic cat), 2892 nucleotides. RefSeq lists it as uncharacterized. The record is from RefSeq and is a predicted model, not a curated record. Lineage: Eukaryota; Metazoa; Chordata; Mammalia; Carnivora; Felidae. The transcript has 2 exons.